RNAcentral lists this long non-coding RNA (538 nucleotides) under Mytilus galloprovincialis (Mediterranean mussel). Lineage: Eukaryota; Metazoa; Mollusca; Bivalvia; Mytilida; Mytilidae. The record is from RNAcentral.
GUUUGGUAUAACUGACUGUUUCUUGCCCUAGAUGUCUAUUUCACAGUGACCUUAUGUGUUUGUGCUAAAAGUACAUUGUACUGUCAAAUUCAUUGAUUUUCUGUUGGGACAUGACCUACAUUGUAAACAUGCAAAAUAGUGGCUUGAGAUUUCAACUGAUAUUAGUAUAAUAAAUUAAAAUUUGGAAUAUUAUAUCCUGGUUGAUGAUGUUUUUUUUUGGGACCAAGAUGUUUUCUUCAUUCUUGUUCACAUUAUGAUUAUUUUAACCUUCAACAUUGUUCAAUGCACAUUUAAAGAUAGAAAAAAUUUCAGCUCUCAUUUAAAAUAUUUUGCAACUUAAUAAUAAUCUGUCGGAGUUGGUGUAAACAAAAAACAAGACACUGCAAGCAUAGUCUAUUUCUAUAACAGUCAAGCUGAUAGUUUUUUUUAUAUCUGAAAAAAAAAAAACUACCAUGUAAAGAAAUAUGCAAUUAAAAGGCCUAUAAUAACCCCUAAAUUCAACAUUAACAGAUUUUUAACAAUUAAAUCAAGAUGCACA